Molecule: ribosomal RNA, 561 nt
Filed under: uncultured bacterium
Lineage: Bacteria
Description: partial 16S ribosomal RNA
Rfam family: Bacterial small subunit ribosomal RNA
Source: RNAcentral
UGGGGAAUAUUGGACAAUGGGCGCAAGCCUGAUCCAGCCAUGCCGCGUGAGUGAUGAAGGCCCUAGGGUUGUAAAGCUCUUUCAGCGAGGAGGAUAAUGACGUUACUCGCAGAAGAAGCCCCGGCUAACUUCGUGCCAGCAGCCGCGGUAAUACGAAGGGGGCUAGCGUUGUUCGGAAUCACUGGGCGUAAAGCGCACGUAGGCGGACUUUUAAGUCAGGGGUGAAAUCCCGGGGCUCAACCUCGGAACUGCCUUUGAUACUGGAAGUCUGGAGUCCGAGAGAGGUGAGUGGAACUCCGAGUGUAGAGGUGAAAUUCGUAGAUAUUCGGAAGAACACCAGUGGCGAAGGCGGCUCACUGGCUCGGUACUGACGCUGGGGUGCGAAAGCGUGGGGAGCAAACAGGAUUAGAUACCCUGGUAGUCCACGCCGUAAACGAUGGAAGCUAGCCGUCAGGGUGCAUGCAUCUUGGUGGCGCAGUUAACGCAUUAAGCUUCCCGCCUGGGGAGUACGGUCGCAAGAUUAAAAACUCAAAUGAAUUGACGGGGUCAUAGCUGUUUCCU